AUCAUUGCAAAUCGAAUAAUGCUCGCUUUUUAUUUAAUAAUAUUCUUAUUAGUAACAUUAUCUAUUCACAAAGAUUGGUCGAGAAGCAACAGUGAUUAAUUUAAAAACAAAAAAUUAAUAUCAAUUUUUUCCGCUUGUUGCUUUUGGGACAGGUGUAAUUGAUGUUAGCCGUGAGAAUAUGCUUAUAUUUUGGUCGUCCAGCCCCAAAAGGUGAAGCCGAUCCUUGGCUCAGAGAUCCUCACUACGAUAUGCACUAAUACAUUAUUAAUCAUGGAUUUGAAAGUUUUUGCGCCGAUAAAUGCCCAAAUUCACUAUAUCCACGUUGCGCCGAUUGCUCUCCUGAUUCGAAUCAUGAGAAUACCGAAUUUAUUAAAAAAAUUAAUAUUAUAAUGUAACUUAAACAUUAUUUUUCAUAUUAAAUGUAUUUCGCCUUUUACUAUAUUAUAUUUAAUAUUAAGGUUUCAUAAUUAUGCAUUUUAUUUAAUUAUUAUUUAAAAUUAUUGAAGUCUAA
This is a long non-coding RNA of Gordionus sp. m RMFG-2023, 511 nucleotides long. RefSeq lists it as uncharacterized. The record is from RefSeq and is a predicted model, not a curated record. NCBI's taxonomy places the organism in Eukaryota, Metazoa, Nematomorpha, Gordioida, Chordodea, Parachordodidae. The transcript has 4 exons.